RNAcentral lists this ribosomal RNA (478 nucleotides) under uncultured bacterium. Its description in RNAcentral is "partial 16S ribosomal RNA". It matches the Rfam family "Bacterial small subunit ribosomal RNA", at positions 28 to 523 of the family's 1533-position model. The record is from RNAcentral.
GACGAACGCUGGCGGCGUGCUUAACACAUGCAAGUCGAACGGUAAGGCCCUUCGGGGUACACGAGUGGCGAACGGGUGAGUAACACGCGGGUGAUCUGCCCUGCACUUCGGGAUAAGCCUGGGAAACUGGGUCUAAUACCGGAUAGGACCACUGCCUGCAUGGGUGGUGGUGGAAAGCUUUUGCGGUGUGGGAUGGGCCCGCGGCCUAUCAGCUUGUUGGUGGGGUGAUGGCCUACCAAGGCGACGACGGGUAGCCGGCCUGAGAGGGUGACCGGCCACACUGGGACUGAGAUACGGCCCAGACUCCUACGGGAGGCAGCAGUGGGGAAUAUCGCACAAUGGGCGCAAGCCUGAUGCAGCGACGCCGCGUGAGGGAUGACGGCCUUCGGGUUGUAAACCUCUUUCAGCACCGACGAAGCGCAAGUGACGGUAGGUGCAGAAGAAGGACCGGCCAACUACGUGCCAGCAGCCGCCGUAA